GUUAAAAAAUAAUAUAAAAUUUAAGGGUGGGAUGGUGGGGUAAAGGUGAAGGCUAAGUGUGAGAUUUGGUGGGAAGAGUGAUUUUGAGAGUAACAUAAAAUCUUUUAAUUGAAUUAAUAUAGCUGAUAUAAUUUUUUUUCCAAAUCAAACCAGCCUGAAUGCCCAUUUUAUUAAACAAAAACAUCAAAAUUGAUACAAAUAACCAAAUCAGGCCCAAAUAUUAGGUCAACCCGAGUCUAGUUCCAUCAAAAAAUCAGGAAAAAAAUAAAUCUCUAGGUUAAAUUAGGAAACAUUUUCUCAGCUCCGCCUCUUGCUCUUCCUCUGCCUUCAUCGGAUUUUCAUCAACCAUUCGUCGGCCCUCCAUUGAGCUACCAUGCAGCUGUCGUUGACCACCUACUUUCCAUCAUUAUCUUCAUGGCUAAAAAAAGCUAAGUUGUUGGACUUCCGUUUCGUUAAUCAUUAGUUAAUGGGUUGAGUUUAAUAGAAAUUAAUACCACCAUCUUACUAUCGAUUAGUGAAAAGAAAAUCUAGAUCUAUUUCUCUGUGAUGAGUAUUACUAAAUACAUCUAAGAAAUAACACUUUAGAUGUGAUAUUCCAACUGUUUGAACACCAUAAUCCUCAACAUCCUUGAAUCUCAUUGGAUGUGGGUUAGAUUUUUAAUAGAAUUCCUUUCUAACAGUCGGUUUAUCAUCUCCAUAGUAAAUCGUUGCUAUAUAAUUCAUAAUCUAAUUAUCUCCCAUCAAUUAUUAUAUGUCUAGGUUUAAUAUUAAGCUGCAUGUUAACAUCUUCCCAGCAGUAUACUAGAGUUUGAUAAUAUCAGGAUACUUGGUGAAGGGAUUAUGAUGAUAUAUGAAGAAUAUACAAGCUUCAAAUUAAGCGAAAACAACUUAAAAAGGCUUGGAAUGGAUCACGGAAGCACAAUAUGCUACUUGAUGCCAAUUUGGAUACCUAGAAUGUCCAGGGAUAGUGAGGGUGCGUGUCAUGGUAUUUUGGCACGUUCGACACUCCAAAAUUUUCAGAAGGUAUCAAAAUAGUGAACUAAGGUGAUACAGAGGUGACGCCUUGCCUAGAGACGUGAUAAAACUAGUACGCAGCCUUGCCUGGAGCGGGGCUAUAGCAGGCGGCGCCCUCUCCGGUCGCGGGCUCAAUAACUGACAGUUUCCUUUUCCAACAUGGAAUUGGCUUUCUCCUAUACUAUAAAUACAUCAUGGUAACAUUUUUUUUACAUACCUUUGGACGUCUUGGAGAAUUAAGGAGGCUACCACAACUUAUUUUUAGGGUUUUAUUAUCUUAAGUUUAGUUUGUUUCGUGGUUUGUAUCAUCAAUCCAAGGGAUUGGAUGAUGAAUAUUUCCAUUAAAGGCUAAAACUCCCUUUUCGGGGUUAAGGCCAAGAUCAUGACUACUUUUGUUUUGAAUUAAGUUUGUUAAUUUUCUUAUCAUCAUUGGUUGCU
Capsicum annuum is the source of this 1452-nucleotide long non-coding RNA. RefSeq lists it as uncharacterized. The record is from RefSeq and is a predicted model, not a curated record. The transcript is spliced from 2 exons. NCBI's taxonomy places the organism in Eukaryota, Viridiplantae, Streptophyta, Magnoliopsida, Solanales, Solanaceae.